GGAGAAAAAGUAAAAAAUAGUGAGAAAGAAGGGAAGAGAAGUGAAGUGAAGGCUUGGCAUGAUGAAAAACCAAAGCUUUGUUUUUUCUCCAACACUCUAACUCUCUUCUUCUCUUAUCUUUCACCAAUGUUGUCAUCUCCAGUAUUGCUCUCUCUCACCCUCUUCCUCUCCCUCCCUCUCCUCCUCCUCCUCUCCCCUCACCUCCUCUUCUCGCCGCCGGACGCCGACGACCUCGCCCUCUUCCGCCGCGCCGCCGCCCCACACACCACCUCCCACCUCUCCUCCACCCCGAAAAUCGCCUUCCUCUUCCUCACCAACUCCAACCUCACCUUCUCCCCUCUCUGGGAAACCUUCUUCUCAGCCUCCCACACCCACCUCUUCAACAUCUACAUCCACGCCCACCCGCCAAUCCAACCGCCCGGCGGCCCCUUCCCCCGCUCCCGCUUCAUCCCUUCAAAACCCACCUCCCGCGCCUCCCCAUCUCUCAUCGCCGCCGCGCGCCGCCUCAUCGCCGCCGCACUCCUCCACGACCCCCUCAACCUCUACUUCGCCCUCCUCUCCCAGCACUGCAUCCCCCUCCACUCCCUCCCCUUCACCCACAACUACCUCUUCAAAAACCCCACCUUUCCCCACCGCAGCUUCAUCGAGAUCCUCUCCCAGGACCCCAACCUCGAAGCGCGUUACGACGCGCGUCCUCCCAUGCUCCCCGAAGUCCCCUUCUCCUCCUUCCGCGUCGGCUCCCAGUUCUUCAUCCUCACCCGCCGCCACGCGCGCAUCGUCGUCCGUGACCGCCGCCUCUGGAACAAGUUCCGCCUCCCCUGCCUCACCCCGGAACCCUGCUACCCCGAAGAACACUACUUCCCCACUCUCCUCUCCAUGGAGGAUCCGAAUGGCUCCACCGGGUUCACCCUCACCCGUGUCAACUGGACCGGCUCUUGGGACGGCCACCCCCAUACCUACACCGCGCCGGAGAUCUCGCCGGAACUUAUCCACCGCCUCAGGCACUCCAACUCCAGCUAUGUUUACCUCUUCGCCAGAAAGUUUGCUCCGGAGUGCCUCCAACCGUUGAUGGAAAUAGCCCAUGACGUCAUUUUCCGGGAUUGAAAUGAAACAAGUUGGGGUUAUGAGCUGUGAUUAAAGAAGUGUUUUUGUUGUUGUGAUUGGGGGCAUCUUUGGGAAGAGAAAGGGUUGUGUUGAUGAUGUUGAAUACAAAUGUGUGUACAGAAGAUCUGAUUUCUUUAAUUGUAAAUCUUGUUUGUGAACAGAUAGAGAGAGGCAAAAUGGUUUCCAAAGGAGACCACAUGGUAGAAUGUUGAGAAUUGUAUUGUUAAAAGUUUAAUGCAAAAGUUUAACCUUUUAGAAGAAGAUGGAUCUAUAUAUUAUCUA
This is an RNA transcript of Vigna unguiculata (cowpea), 1386 nucleotides long. It is a transcript of the gene named core-2/I-branching beta-1,6-N-acetylglucosaminyltransferase family protein, with no coding region annotated. Lineage: Eukaryota; Viridiplantae; Streptophyta; Magnoliopsida; Fabales; Fabaceae. The record is from RefSeq and is a predicted model, not a curated record.